This 504-nucleotide long non-coding RNA is filed under the name Mytilus galloprovincialis (Mediterranean mussel). Lineage: Eukaryota; Metazoa; Mollusca; Bivalvia; Mytilida; Mytilidae. The record is from RNAcentral.
AAAUUCUAAGUUUUCAAAGGUUUGGUAUAGAAGAACUAUACAAAUCCUUGGUAUUUCUAUUUUCUUUUCUACAUCAGUAAAAUGACCCCUUGUCUGAGGGAGGGUUGUUCUCAACCUGAAAACAAACACAGGUCAAAGUACGGUCUUUUACACAGGGCUUUGAUACAGACCAAACAGCAGGCUAUAAAGGACCCCAAAAUUAUUAGCGUACACAAUUCGAACAGGAAAACCAACGAUGUAAUUUAUAUAUCAUGUAUAUCCAAACGGGAAAAUACCAAUGAACAAACGAUAACUGCUAAACGACAGGCCCCUCAAUCAAUCAGGAUAGGUGCAUAAACAUGCAGCGGCUAUGGAUAGUUUUGUUUCGCCAGCAUACAAUAUAAUUGCAAUUGAAGGCAAAUCCUUCAGAAGUUCUUUGUACUUUAUUCUAACAAUCAACAUUUUUUCAUAGGAAAUAUAAGUAAGGGGGAAAGUAACCAAUUUUUUGUUCUUUACAGGUAUUUC